AGACGUGACAUCAGCUGUAAAUAAUGUGACCAUCUGCUCAACGGAGGCUCCAGCAGGAACAACCUCUCACCCCAGCACUACCAGUGGCAGUGAGACGGACUCUUCAGGUAACUCCACUGAAGGCCUCUCCACCCCUGCAUCCACUAUGAAGACCACGAGUGACUCCACUGAAGGCCUCUCCACCCCUGCAUCCACUAUGAAGACCACGACAGACACCACAAAGUCCACAGAGACGACUCAGACAAUGACGACCUUCAAAGCCAGCGUUUCCCAGAGCAGUAAACCAGGUAAAGGUUCUCCAGGUAACCAGCAGAUCCCAGAAGAUGGUGUUUACUGUCUGCCUCCAUGAUUCUCUCUCUCUCUCUCUCUCUCUCUCUCUCUCUCUCUUUCUCUGUGCC
Long non-coding RNA from Clarias gariepinus (North African catfish), 398 nucleotides. RefSeq lists it as uncharacterized. The record is from RefSeq and is a predicted model, not a curated record. The transcript has 5 exons. Lineage: Eukaryota; Metazoa; Chordata; Actinopteri; Siluriformes; Clariidae.